AAAAAAUGCAAAUUUUGAUGAUCGUAGUGUGAUCGUGUAGAUCGCAGUAAGGUCGUAUCACGGUCGUGGUGAGGUCUUCAAGAUUGUGAAGAGCGUGGCCAACUUUGAACAUGUUCAAAACAAUCGUGGUGCGGUCGUGGUGAAAUCAGGUCGUAGUAGAAGCGUAGUGAGAGCGCACCUAGAUCGUAGUAAGAUCGCAAAGGUCGCUGUACAAUCGUAGCGAGAGCAUAGCGAAAGCGUGAUUCUAUUCGGAGAGACUGCGCUACGAUCGCACAGCGACGUUAUCACGACCUCACUACGACCAUCACGUUCUCACUGCGACCCAACUACGCUUCCACUACGACUAUACCACGCUGUUCACGACUAUUGUAC
RNAcentral lists this long non-coding RNA (372 nucleotides) under Mytilus galloprovincialis (Mediterranean mussel). Lineage: Eukaryota; Metazoa; Mollusca; Bivalvia; Mytilida; Mytilidae. The record is from RNAcentral.